Molecule: ribosomal RNA, 446 nt
Filed under: uncultured bacterium
Lineage: Bacteria
Description: partial 16S ribosomal RNA
Rfam family: Bacterial small subunit ribosomal RNA
Source: RNAcentral
CCUACGGGAGGCAGCAGUCGAGAAUCAUUCACAAUGGGGGAAACCCUGAUGGUGCGACGCCGCGUGGGGGAAUGAAGGUCUUCGGAUUGUAAACCCCUGUCAUGUGGGAGCAAAUUAAAAAGAUAGUACCACAAGAGGAAGAGACGGCUAACUCUGUGCCAGCCGCCGCGGUAAUACAGAGGUCGCAAGCGUUGUUCGGAAUCACUGGGCGUAAAGCGUGCGUAGGCGGUUUCGUAAGUCGUGUGUGAAAGGCGCGGGCUCAACCCGCGGACGGCACAUGAUACUGCGAGACUAGAGUAAUGGAGGGGGAACCGGAAUUCUCGGUGUAGCAGUGAAAUGCGUAGAUAUCGAGAGGAACACUCGUGGCGAAGGCGGGUUCCUGGACAUUAACUGACGCUGAGGCACGAAGGCCAGGGGAGCAAACAGGAUUAGAUACCCGGGUAGUC